UUUCCGUAGGUGAACCUGCGGAAGGAUCAUUAAUAAAUAGUCAACGUUUGAUGUUGACAUUAAUAAUCAUCCUACCCUUGUGAACUGAUAUAGUUGUAUAUUAUUAAGUGUCUUUCCCUAAUGGAAAAAAAGGUAAUGUUUUUGGAAGUUAGGGAUAGACUUUAAUAGACUUUUUUUUAAAAUAAACUUUUUGUAUUCAUUUGUCUAAAAUUUAUUUUAUAAUAUAAAACACUUUUGACAAUGGAUCUCUUGGUUCUCGCAACGAUGAAGAACGCAGCAAAAUGCGAUAAGUAGUGUGAAUUGCAGAAUACGUGAAUCAUCGAAUCUUCGACGCAUAAUGCACUUUUUAGUUUACUAAAAAAGUAUGUCUGUUGAGUAUCAGUAAAAUAUUCUCAUAAAAAAAUAUUAUUUUUAUGGUUAUGAGUGUUUACAACGAUAAACAAGUUGUUUCACUUUAAAUUUUUUUUAAAUUGAAAUUUUUCUAAUUUUAAUAAAUGGAUAAAAUUUCCUUACCAAAGGAAUAACCUAAGCAAUUUUAUUUACUUUAGAAUCCAAUUUCAUAAAAAGAAAAUUUAACAAUCAAAAUAACUUGAUCUCAAAUCAGAUAAGAGUACCCGCUGAACUUAAGCAUAUCAAUAAGCGGAGGAAAAGAAACUAACUAGGAUUCCCUCAGUAACGCGAGUGAAGCGGGAAGAGCUCAAAUUUGAAAUCUUCAAGGUUUUACCUUGACGAAUUGUAGUUUAAGAAGUGUUUUCUGUGAGUUUGGUAAAAGUUCUUUGGAAUAGGACAUCAUAGAGGGUGAGAAUCCCGUAUUUGACCAUUAUUUCCAGCUUUGUGAUACACUUUCAAAGAGUCGGAUUGUUUGGGAUGCAGUCCAAAAUGGGUGGUAAAUUCAUCUAAAGCUAAAUAUUGGCGAGAGACCGAUAGCGAACAAGUACCGUGAGGGAAAGAUGAAAAGAACUUUGAAAAGAGAGUUAAACAGUACGUGAAAUUGUCAAAAGGGAAGCGUUUGACACCAGUGUUGUUUCUACGAAAAUCAAUUUAUGAUGGCUUGAUGCUAAGCUUAAGACUUUAUCCGCUUGUGUUUAGUUUUCUUGUCUUUGUGAUUGCACUUUUCGUGGAACAAGUCAACAUCAAUUUCUUUUGCUGUAAAAGGGUAAGAGGAGGUGGCUUCGGCUUCGGUUGAAGUGUUUAUAGCCUUUUAUCUCUGCAGUCGGAGAGAUUGAGGUCUGCAGCGUAGACUCUUCGGGGUUAGAUACGUCGGUGCUAAGCUAUAGCUUUUCAUAGACAACUUGUUGACUAUGUUUAGUCAUGUGGCUACCCGCUGGCGCUAUUUUACCUACGCUUAGGAUGUUG
This 1356-nucleotide unclassified non-coding RNA is filed under the name uncultured Neocallimastigales. RNAcentral describes it as "partial contains small subunit ribosomal RNA, internal transcribed spacer 1, 5.8S ribosomal RNA, internal transcribed spacer 2, and large subunit ribosomal RNA". The stretch from base 591 to 1356 matches the Rfam family "Eukaryotic large subunit ribosomal RNA", at positions 1 to 628 of the family's 3401-position model. Lineage: Eukaryota; Fungi; Neocallimastigomycota; Neocallimastigomycetes; Neocallimastigales. The record is from RNAcentral.